AUGUCUGCAGCAGACUCCCGGGAGGGAAGCAAGACGCUGGUUGUGUCCGGUGUGCCCGACGUGCCCGACGUGCUGUCCGUCAGCAGGAUGCGAGACAAGCUGACUAUUCAUUUCCAGAGCUGCAGACGGAGUCACGGAGGAGACGUGGCGGUCGUCGAAUAUCCCACCAAAAUGGACGGGGUCGCUUUUGUCACUUUUGACAAAGCUGAAGAUGCAGAGAGGGCGGUGCGAAAGGAGCAACAGAUCAUGAUGGACAGCGAGUUUCCUGAAGACUACCUGCUCACUGUGUUCCCCUUCACUCGUGAUGUGUUUUUAUACGUCCCCAGCGCUUUGGUCAAUCUCUCCGUAUUCGGCAGAGAUCAGUCGUCGCUGAUUCAGAGUCUGCAGUCAGCUCACAGGUCGCUACGUUUCCGGCCUGCCCUCCAUCAGAUGACAGCCACCAUUGAAGGUCCUUUCACUGCCGUCCAGGCUCUGAGACAGGACCUCAUCCGCAUGGCCGACCAGCUUAAAUCCCCGGCCUCAGCCCAAACAGCUGCUGUCAAACUGAGAGAAACUCCUCCUAAUCCGAGGCUAAUAUCUCCUCACGAGAAUGUCGGCUCUGUAAGCCGCGGCGGUGCUAAAGCUAAGCUGAGACCAGCGAGCUCUUCCUUAUCACCGCCGCCGCAGACCACAGGUGAGGCGUCUGAAGUCCAAAGCCUGCUCUCAAAUGCAAAAACUCAUUCCUUGAGGCGGAAAGUUUCCCGUAAAGCUGUGGGGACACACGGUGAUGAAGAGGAGGAUCAGAGAGAUCGCUCCCGGCUCGACAUGCCCACAGAAUACAGGACAGAGCGAGCAGAGGCCAACCCAAGACAAGCGCUCAAUGCAGGGGUUAGAUCUUCCUUAUCAGGCCUGGACCUGCUCUUGGGAGAGGAAAUAUCAGCAAAACAGCCAGGAGUGGACGACAUUUCACAAACACACAGCAGACUGGACAGGAUUUCAGCAACCAAGAUCGGAGGAGAGAAUCGGACGGGCUACAGCGGUGCUGACUAUCUGAAGGAAUCAGGUCAGAGCAGCUCUGCUAAGAUCCUCCAGUCCGGACUCAAACAUGUCCCAACGUCCGAUAUCGAGGAUACAGCAGAUCCGUCUGCAAUCUGUCCCGAGGAUCAGGAGGAUACGUGCAUCUGGGUCGAAACUGACAUAUUCAGGUACAUUGAAAAGUUUGACAAGAAGGAGUUGGACCGACGCUUGAGAGGUCUUGAUGUAACUGUUAAACGCGAAGGUUCUGACCUCACACAGAUAUUGUUGACCGAGAAACAAACCUCAAAGACGACCCCGAUGAUCCAGCAGGCGUUGAAAAACCUCAAGAGUUUGGUGGAGUUCUGGCACUCGAUGUUAGUAGUUCAUCAGAUCGACUAUAACGAGGAGGACAAACAGAAACUGAUUCAAAUCUGCGAUGAUGAGAAUAUCGGGUACUCUAACAUUCUAUACGUGUUGGAGGAUUCUUGCGUAAAAGUCAUCAGCUACUCAACAUCUAGUCACAUGUUCUGUAAGAGUGUGAAGGAUAGUCUUGCUAAACUCAAAGAUGCUCGGAGAAUGUAAUGGAUGCAGCAAAAAUACAUGGGCGUAGUUUUAUCAAUGACCACACGGUGGUGCUGUUGUGCUGCAUGUUGCAUUCACACAACCUGCUCCUGUAGUUGUCUGAAUGUCGACCUUAAGUUUAGGUACAUUACAUUGGUAUUUUCCUGCAUAAUAAUUAGAACUGUAUACAUUAAUGGUACUGUGUGUAUAUAACAUAUCUGCCUCCAUUACUCAGAAAACUCACUUUAAUGCUCUUAUUAAAUGAAAGAAUCCAGUGCUUUUGCUUCCCUCCGGGUUAAUAAUUAGGCUUUUAGCAAGUCUUAAUCCAAACCAUGUUUUCACAGCAGUAGGGAUAAAUCUUAAUUAACCUCCUCACAUUUUAAUCACAAAAGAUUGGCUUCUAAUUACAUAAAAAAUGACAACCUGUCUCACAUAAUCACAUCUUCCUAUUCUCUUGUCAACAAAUUAUAUAAUUAUGUUAUCCUUGUAUUGGUAAUAAAUUAUUUUCUUUGAGGCGCAGAGAAAAUAAAAGUGUUUCUGUUCAAAGCGAGACACUACCUCAGUUUUCCUGCACUGGUUAAUUUUAAGAUUUUGGGCUAAUACACAUUUAGGUGUUUAUUUUUCUAACUUUGUCUAUUUGUAUCUGUGAAUUUCCCCUUACACACCAAACCUUCCCGUUUCAUUCCUGUCUGUGUUCUGAAGGUUUUCACUGAGAGCUUUGUUCUGAUAUCAUUCACAGCCUGAUUUAUAGAUUAAUGAUUUAUUUUUUAUUUUUUUAUGGAUGUUGACAGUAUUUUCUGAUUUGUGGAGUGAAACAAAUAAAUGUAAAGUUGUUAAAAAUGUAAAUUUCCACCAUUGAGGCUUCUUGACUGCAUGUUUUGUGCUUGGCUGUGACUGUGAUGAGUGGAGUACCAACAUUGGCCAGUAGGGGGCGGUAUGACACUUUCUCCCAUUCGGUGAACCGUUUAAAAAUAGAGAUACUGUCGCUGCCACCGUCCUGCUCUGUGAAGCUAUUAUGGAGGCUGGGUUUGGCACGCAGGGUGCAGAUUGGCAGGCAAAUGAUGUCAGUUGGACGUCCCAUUAUACACCCUCUCCCCUCCACACACACACACACACA
Molecule: long non-coding RNA, 2674 nt
Filed under: Cottoperca gobio
Lineage: Eukaryota; Metazoa; Chordata; Actinopteri; Perciformes; Bovichtidae
Description: lncRNA (ENSCGOG00000004127.1)
Source: RNAcentral